GUGUGUACUAGGUUACUGUUAUUAUGAAGGCUGUCAUAAUAAUCCUUGUUUGAUGGAGAUGGCAGAACCCGUUGACGCAACAACACCAUUAAACUCAACUUCAUACACCUGGGAAGUUUGCCUCCUGCAGUGCUUCACGUAGGACCAAAAGCGAUUAGGGUCACGCCCAAUUUCAUUUUCAAUGCCAAUAAGAUAUUGCCUGUAUGCUGAGGAUAUAUCCUUUUUUACUGAUGAACGUAAAUUACAGAACUGCACAUAACUAUCCGAUGCACAUGGAUCAUUUAGUGAACGUAGUCUUUUGUAUUUUUUAUGCAGCUUAUGUUUAAGCCUAAUAGAUGCCACUAUAUUUGUCGAAAACCAGACUGGAUAGGAUGAACCACUCCUAACUCUUUUCUUGGGGCAGAAUUUGUCCAAUAUUUUGUACAGAAGGUCAUAGAAAACAUUAACCGAAUCGUUGACAUCAACAGCGACAC
Molecule: long non-coding RNA, 473 nt
Organism: Photinus pyralis (common eastern firefly)
Lineage: Eukaryota; Metazoa; Arthropoda; Insecta; Coleoptera; Lampyridae
Exons: 2
Source: RefSeq, a predicted model, not a curated record